Non-coding RNA from Danio rerio (zebrafish), 73 nucleotides. The record is from Rfam. NCBI's taxonomy places the organism in Eukaryota, Metazoa, Chordata, Actinopteri, Cypriniformes, Danionidae.
GCUCGACUAGCUCAGUCGGUAGAGCAUGAAACUCUUAAUCUCAGGGUUGUGGGUUAGAUCCCUACGUUGGGCA